UUGAGCAAAUAACUGACAAUGCAGUUUCUGUGAUUGUCGACUUUAAAACAUAGAUAAAAGUAUGUUUGACUUCUUUUGGAAGUGAAAUGCUAUUUCAGUUUCUUCUGUUGCUAUGUUAUGUAAUGAGUUAUAGAAAUUAUGAUGUUUUACAACUUUGUAUAUUUAAGAUAAAAGUAAAAUUAAUUUUAAUGUUAUAUAUUCUGUGAAGGAAACAUUUUUGAUGAAAUUCCUCAAGUCAGUUCUUUUCAGGCAAAUUAUCUUCCUUGCUUUAUACUUGAUACAAAGCCUUUGUUAAUCUCUUAUUAACUUUUUCCAUUUCUCUUCGUAUAAUCUGUGUGAUAUCCAGAGACCCUUUGAAAGCUCUUUGCUCCUCCCCUCUCUGGCAUAUAUGUUUUGAGAGUAUGCACACGCCCGAGGUGGUGUCCUGCCCUUGGGCCUUUGUUCAGGGCAGAGGACUGACUAGGAGACCAGAGAGCCUGGUGGUUCCCUUUGGCAUUUUUGCCUGAUUGCUUCUUGGCACAUUGGCCACACCUAUAUUUCAGUACUUUCUCCCAUUCUGAGAUAAUAGAAAUUAUUUUGGUUUAUCUAUACCAGGUAACCUUUAUUUAUUAAAUAAUAGACUUAAUUAAUAGUGAUGUCAUUUCCUCUAGUUAGUGAUUUUUAAAUAUUCCAAAGAUAAGUUGUAUAUUUAUAAUAUUAAGAUUUUUAAAAACUCAAUUUGGAUCAAGAUAAUAUAAAAAGAUGUUAAAAUGAAUGUAACUGUAAGCCAUUAGAUUAUUUCUAAUUCAUAGGAACUAAAAUUAAUUACUUUAUUUUGCUUGAAGUAAGACAGUUCCUGUUAAUCAAAAAGAAAAGGGGAAACAAUCUGUGAAAAAACUGGUAAAGACCAUCAACUCACAGUUCAAAGAAAAAGAUAAGUUGGAUAAUUUUCAGGCCGGAAUUAAAGAGUUUCAAUUUGAA
Molecule: long non-coding RNA, 960 nt
Organism: Myotis davidii
Lineage: Eukaryota; Metazoa; Chordata; Mammalia; Chiroptera; Vespertilionidae
Exons: 2
Source: RefSeq, a predicted model, not a curated record